Long non-coding RNA from Oncorhynchus tshawytscha (Chinook salmon), 800 nucleotides. NCBI's taxonomy places the organism in Eukaryota, Metazoa, Chordata, Actinopteri, Salmoniformes, Salmonidae. The record is from Ensembl.
GGGUAGGGUGUGAGACCUGUGGGUAGGUUGUGAGACCUGUAGGUAGGGUGUGAGACCUAUAGGUAGGGUGUGAGACUGGUGGGUAGAUGUGAGACCUGUGGGUAGGUUGUGAGACCUGUAGGUAGGGUGUGAGACCUGUGGGUAGAUUGUGAGUCCUGUGGGUAGGUUGUGAGUCCUGUGGAUAGAUGUGAGACCUGUGGGUAGGUUGUGAGACCUGUGGGUAGGUUGUGAGACCUGUGGGUAGAUGUGAGACCUGUGGGUAGGUUGUGAGACCUGUGGGUAGGUGUUGAGACCUGUGGGUAGAUGUGAGACCUGUGGGUAGGUUGUGAGACCUGUGGGUAGAUGUGAGACCUGUGGGUAGGUUGUGAGACCUGUAGGUAGGUUGUGAGACCUGUUGGUAGGUUGUGAGACCUGUUGGCAGGGGGUGAGACAUGUGGGUAGAUGUGAGACCUGUUGGUAGGUUGUGAGACCUGUUGGUAGGGGGUGAGACCUGUUUGUAGGGGAUGAGAUCUGUUGGUAGGGGGUGAGACCUGUUGGUAGGGGGUGAGACCUGUCGGUAGGUGGUGAGACCUGUUGGUAGGUUGUGAGACCUGUGGGUAGGUUGUGAGACCUGUCGAUAGAUGGUGAGACCUGUGGGUAGGUUGUGAGACAUAUGGGUAGGUUGUGAGACCUGUGGGUAGAUGGUGAGACCUGUGGGUAGGUUGUGAGACCUGUGGGUAGGUUGUGAGACCUGUCGGUAGAUGGUGAGACCUGUAGGUAGGUUGUGAGUCCUGUGGGUAGGUUGUGAGACCUGUGGGUAG